GUAGGCGGUAUGUAAAGCGAACAGUGAAAUCUCAAAGCUCAACUUUGAGGCUACUGUUUGAACUUACAUACUAGAGCAUGAUAGGGGAAACUGGAAUUCCUAGUGUAGGAGUGAAAUCCGUAGAUAUUAGGAGGAACACCAAUGGCGAAGGCAGGUUUCUGGAUCAUUGCUGACGCUCAGGCUCGAAAGUGUGGGUAGCGAACAGGAUUAGAUACCCUGGUAGUCCACACCGUAAACGAUGGAUACUAGCUAGUUGGGGGUAUCGACCCCCUCAGCAGCGAAGCUAACGCGUUAAGUAUCCCGCCUGGGGAGUACGGUCGCAAGAUUAAAACUCAAAGGAAUAGACGGGGACCCGCACAAGCGGUGGAGCGUGUUCUUUAAUUGGAUGAUAAGCCAAGAACCUUACCCAGACUUGACAUCCCGAGAAGGACUGCGAAAGCAGACUGUGCUUUAUUGAACUCGGUGACAGGUGCUGCAUGGCCGUCGUCAGCUCGUGUCGUGAGAUGUUUGGUUAAGUCCAUCAACGAGCGCAACCCCUAUGAUUAGUUGGAUUUUUCUAAUCAGACUGCCUCGGUAACGGGGAGGAAGGAGGGGACGACGUCAGGUCAUUAUUGCCCUUAUGUCUGGGGCGAGAAACGCGCUACAAUGGCCGGUACAAAGGGGAGCGAAGUCGCGAGACGGAGCAAAUCUCAUCAGAGCCGGUCUCAGUUCGGAUUGGAGGCUGAAACCCGCCUCCAUGAAGUCGGAAUCGCUAGUAACCGUGGGUCAGAAUAUCGCGGUGAAUACGUUCCCGGGUCUUGUACUCACCGCCCGUCAUACCGUGGAAGUCGCCAACACCCGAAAGCUGAUCAUUAAGAUCGGUCUAAGGUGGGGGAGAUGACUGGGGUA
This 888-nucleotide ribosomal RNA is filed under the name uncultured Candidatus Saccharibacteria bacterium. RNAcentral's name for it is "bacterial SSU rRNA". It matches the Rfam family "Bacterial small subunit ribosomal RNA", at positions 571 to 1482 of the family's 1533-position model. The record is from RNAcentral. Lineage: Bacteria; Candidatus Saccharimonadota.